This 450-nucleotide ribosomal RNA is filed under the name uncultured bacterium. RNAcentral describes it as "partial 16S ribosomal RNA". It matches the Rfam family "Bacterial small subunit ribosomal RNA", at positions 354 to 796 of the family's 1533-position model. The record is from RNAcentral.
GUGGGGAAUCUUCCGCAAUGGACGAAAGUCUGACGGAGCAACGCCGCGUGAGUGAUGACGGCCUUCGGGUUGUAAAGCUCUGUGAUCGGGGACGAAUGGCUGGUAUGCUAAUACCAUAUCAGAGUGACGGUACCCGAAUAGCAAGCCACGGCUAACUACGUGCCAGCAGCCGCGGUAAUACGUAGGUGGCAAGCGUUGUCCGGAAUUAUUGGGCGUAAAGCGCGCGCAGGCGGCUUCUUAAGUCCAUCUUAAAAGUGCGGGGCUUAACCCCGUAAUGGGAUGGAAACUGGGAGGCUGGAGUAUCGGAGAGGAAAGUGGAAUUCCUAGUGUAGCGGUGAAAUGCGUAGAGAUUAGGAAGAACACCGGUGGCGAAGGCGACUUUCUGGACGACAACUGACGCUGAGGCGCGAAAGCGUGGGGAGCAAACAGGAUUAGAUACCCCGGUAGUCC